RNAcentral lists this ribosomal RNA (497 nucleotides) under uncultured bacterium. RNAcentral's name for it is "partial 16S ribosomal RNA". It matches the Rfam family "Bacterial small subunit ribosomal RNA", at positions 28 to 508 of the family's 1533-position model. The record is from RNAcentral.
GAUGAACGCUGGCGGCGUGCCUAAUACAUGCAAGUCGAGCGAACGGACGAGAAGCUUGCUUUUCUGAUGUUAGCGACGGACGGGUGAGUAACACGUGGAUAACCUACCUAUAAGACUGGGAUAACUUCGGGAAACCGGAGCUAAUACCGGAUAAUAUUUUGAACCGCAUGGUUCAAAAGUGAAAGACGGUCUUGCUGUCACUUAUAGAUGGAUCCGCGCUGCAUUAGCUAGUUGGUAAGGUAACGGCUUACCAAGGCAACGAUGCAUAGCCGACCUGAGAGGGUGGUCGCCCACACGGGACGGGAGACGGGCACCAGCCUCCAGCGGGGGGCAGAAGAGGGAAUUCGUCCGCAAGGGGCAAAGGCCGGAGGGAAAACCGCCGGGUGAGGAAUAAGGGUCUUCGGAUCUAAAACCUUUGUUUUAGGGAAAAAAAAGAGGUGAAAGAAAUUGUCCACUUCUGGAGGGUACCUAAUAAAAAACCCAGGGCUAACAAGGGC